Molecule: ribosomal RNA, 301 nt
Filed under: uncultured bacterium
Lineage: Bacteria
Description: partial 16S ribosomal RNA
Rfam family: Bacterial small subunit ribosomal RNA
Source: RNAcentral
CAGCCGCCGCGGUAAUACGGAGGGGGCUAGCGUUGUUCGGAAUUACUGGGCGUAAAGCGCACGUAGGCGGUCUGUUAAGUCAGAUGUGAAAUCCCCGAGCUUAACUUGGGAACUGCAUUUGAAACUGGCAAGCUAGAGUCUUGUAGAGGGGGGUAGAAUUCCAGGUGCAGCGGUGAAAUGCGUAGAGAUCUGGAGGAAUACCGGUGGCGAAGGCGGCCCCCUGGACAAAGACUGACGCUCAGGUGCGAAAGCGUGGGGAGCAAACAGGAUUAGAUACCCCAGUAGUCCCUGUCUCUUAUAC